UGGGGAAUAUUGGGCAAUGGAUGAAACUCUGACCCAGCGACGCCGCGUGAGGGAUGAAGGCCUUCGGGUUGUAAACCGCUUUCAGUAGGGAAGAAGCGAAAGUGACGGUACCUACAAAAGAAGCACCGGCUAACUAUGUGCCAGCAGCCGCGGUAAUACAUAGGGUGCAAGCGUUGUCCGGAAUUAUUGGGCGUAAAGAGCUCGUAGGUGGUCGAUCACGUCGGAUGUGAAAAUCUGAGGCUUAACCUCAGACCUGCAUUCGAUACGGGUUGACUAGAGUGUGGUAGGGGAGACUGGAAUUCCUGGUGUAGCGGUGGAAUGCGCAGAUAUCAGGAGGAACACCAAUGGCGAAGGCAAUCCCCUGGGCCUGUACUGACGCUCAUGCACGAAAGCGUGGGGA
This 400-nucleotide ribosomal RNA is filed under the name uncultured bacterium. RNAcentral describes it as "bacterial SSU rRNA". It matches the Rfam family "Bacterial small subunit ribosomal RNA", at positions 355 to 767 of the family's 1533-position model. The record is from RNAcentral.